This 381-nucleotide ribosomal RNA is filed under the name Zygnema pseudogedeanum. RNAcentral's name for it is "SSU rRNA". It matches the Rfam family "Eukaryotic small subunit ribosomal RNA", at positions 585 to 972 of the family's 1831-position model. The record is from RNAcentral. RNAcentral also lists the same sequence under 1 other name. Lineage: Eukaryota; Viridiplantae; Streptophyta; Zygnematophyceae; Zygnematales; Zygnemataceae.
CCAGCUCCAAUAGCGUAUAUUUAAGUUGUUGCAGUUAAAAAGCUCGUAGUUGGAUUUUGGGUUGGAGCGGUCGGUCUGCCUCUUUGGUUGAACUGGCCUCUCCAUCCUUCUUGCCGGGGACGCGUUCUGGCCUUCGUUGGCUGGGAGGUGGAUUCGGCGAUGUUACUUUGAAAAAAUUAGAGUGUUCAAAGCAGGCCUUUGCUCUGAAUACAUUAGCAUGGAAUAACGCGAUAGGACUCUGGUUCUAUUGUGUUGGUCUUCGGGACCGGAGUAAUGAUUAAGAGGGACAGUUGGGGGCAUUCGUAUUUCAUUGUCAGAGGUGAAAUUCUUGGAUUUAUGAAAGACGAACUUCUGCGAAAGCAUUUGCCAAGGAUGUUUUCA